UCCAUACAACAAUACAUCUGAACUACCAAAAGUUAAACAAGAAACAAGGAUUAGAUACCCUUCUAUCCUAGACCUAAACUAAUCAAGAAGUAAUAUUAAAUAAAAACUUAAUCAGAAUGGCAGUAAGAAAUCCACCGGAGAAGGCUGUACCAUAAUCGACAAUCCUCGCUAACUACCCCCUAACCUAACAUUUUAUAUAUCGCCAUUGAAAUCUUACUUAAGGUAGAAUUAAUCUAAGAUCUAAACUCAGUCAACAGGUCAAGAUAUAAAUCAUGGUUAGGUGAGAUAUUGCCUGCAAAUAUCAACAAUUAAUUAAACUAACCAUUAUCCAACAGUUUAAAUUAGGAUCCGACUGUAACCAUGUCUACUUAUAACAUUAUGACCUGCCAAAUUCCUUAUGCACUCCCCCCGCGCGU
RNAcentral lists this ribosomal RNA (416 nucleotides) under Trichinella papuae. RNAcentral describes it as "partial small subunit ribosomal RNA". The record is from RNAcentral. Lineage: Eukaryota; Metazoa; Nematoda; Enoplea; Trichinellida; Trichinellidae.